CACUAGUUGAGCGGUGAACAAAGGCUACAUCUCCUGGUAGCUGUUAAAUAAAUGCAGCAGUACAUCAAGAAUCAAUUAUUUCUUAGAGGGGCCCAUAGAUGUUAUUUGGGGAGAGGCCUCUGGAGCAAGUGAGGAGUAGCCAUUCCGUGAGACUGUGGAGUCUACAGAAUUUAGCAGCUAUGACUCAGGCAGAGGCAGUGGCUGCUAAGAUUAUCAGGAAGCUGGACAAACACUUGACAAAGGAAAAAAAGCUGCUGGCUGUAUUAGCCAGGGCACCUGCAGGAGACAGCAGGUACAUUCCAGAAGGGAUCCACGAAACUCAACCCACCAAGAGCCAAAGCUCAGGAGCCUCCUCAGGAAAUGGAAGACUCAGACAAAACAACACCUUGUUUCCAAGGAGGGAGGUAGAGACAGGUGGGGCAGCACAAGUCUCCCAAGGGAAAGGAUUGUUCAGAGAACUAGGAAAGGCAACCAGCAGAAACCCCAAGAGUUGGAAAUUCUCUUCCAGGGAGGAACCAGUGGGCAACAGGCCUUAAGAAGCUGGUGUGGUACCACAGACAAAUCCCACCGCAUGAUUUAAGCCCCAGUAAAAGCAAAUUCACAAAAAAC
RNAcentral lists this long non-coding RNA (609 nucleotides) under Rattus norvegicus (Norway rat). Its description in RNAcentral is "long non-coding RNA NONRATT008645". Lineage: Eukaryota; Metazoa; Chordata; Mammalia; Rodentia; Muridae. The record is from RNAcentral.